RNAcentral lists this transfer RNA (77 nucleotides) under Pseudomonadota bacterium. Its description in RNAcentral is "tRNA-Val". It matches the Rfam family "tRNA". Rfam says of the family: Transfer RNA (tRNA) molecules are approximately 80 nucleotides in length. The record is from RNAcentral. Lineage: Bacteria; Pseudomonadati; Pseudomonadota.
GGGCGGCUAGCUCAGUUGGUCAGAGCGCUACGUUCACACCGUAGAGGUCGGAGGUUCGAGCCCUCUGCCGCCCACCA